Molecule: ribosomal RNA, 873 nt
Filed under: uncultured bacterium
Lineage: Bacteria
Description: bacterial SSU rRNA
Rfam family: Bacterial small subunit ribosomal RNA
Source: RNAcentral
GCGGAAGUUUACGGAUGGAAGGUUAUAUACUUAGUGGCGGACGGGUGAGUAACGCGUGGGCAACCUGCCCCGUGCCGGGGGAUACCGCCUGGAAACAGGCGCUAAUACCGCAUAAGCGCAUACAGCCGCAUGGGUGUAUGCGGAAAGCUCCGGCGGCACGGGAUGGGCCCGCGCCCGAUUAGCCAGUUGGCGGGGUAACGGCCCACCAAAGCGACGAUCGGUAGCCGGCCUGAGAGGGCGGACGGCCACAUUGGGACUGAGACACGGCCCAAACUCCUACGGGAGGCAGCAGUGGGGAAUAUUGCACAAUGGGGGAAACCCUGAUGCAGCAACGCCGCGUGGGUGAAGGAGCGUUUCGGCGCGUAAAGCCCUGUCAGCGGGGAAGAAGAAAGACGGUACCCGACCAAGAAGCCCCGGCUAACUACGUGCCAGCAGCCGCGGUAAUACGUAGGGGGCGAGCGUUAUCCGGAAUUACUGGGUGUAAAGGGAGCGUAGACGGCGAGGUAAGCCUGAAGUGGAAGCCCGCGGCCCAACCGCGGAACUGCUUUGGGAACUGUUUUGCUGGAGUAUGGGAGGGGUAAGCGGAAUUCCUGGUGUAGCGGUGAAAUGCGUAGAUAUCAGGAGGAACACCGGUGGCGAAGGCGGCUUACUGGACCAUAACUGACGUUGAGGCUCGAAAGCGUGGGGAGCGAACAGGAUUAGAUACCCUGGUAGUCCACGCCGUAAACGAUGAUUACCAGGUGUCGGGUGUCGAAGGACGGCCGGUGCCGCAGCGAACGCAGUAAGUAAUCCACCUGGGGAGUACGUUCGCAAGAAUGAAACUCAAAGGAAUUGACGGGGACCCGCACAAGCGGUGGAGCAUGUGGUUUAAUU